UACGUAGGGGGCUAGCGUUGUCCGGAUUUAUUGGGCGUAAAGAGCGUGUAGGCGGCCAGGUAGGUCUGCUGUGAAAACUCGAGGCUCAACCUCGAGACGUCGGCGGAAACCAUCUGGCUAGAGUCCGGAAGAGGAGAGUGGAAUUCCUGGUGUAGCGGUGAAAUGCGCAGAUAUCAGGAAGAACACCCGUGGCGAAGGCGGCCUGCUGGGCUGUUGCUGACGCUGAGGCGCGACAGCGUGGGGAGCAAACAGG
Molecule: ribosomal RNA, 253 nt
Filed under: uncultured bacterium
Lineage: Bacteria
Description: partial 16S ribosomal RNA
Rfam family: Bacterial small subunit ribosomal RNA
Source: RNAcentral